This is a long non-coding RNA of Etheostoma spectabile (orangethroat darter), 87 nucleotides long. RefSeq lists it as uncharacterized. Lineage: Eukaryota; Metazoa; Chordata; Actinopteri; Perciformes; Percidae. The transcript has 3 exons. The record is from RefSeq and is a predicted model, not a curated record.
CGGCCAUCCGGCCAAAAAAAAGGAACAUCCGGUGGAAUUUCCAGCGGCAACGGAGCAUUCCUGGAAGUGGAAGGUAGGGAUAUAGAC